RNAcentral lists this ribosomal RNA (253 nucleotides) under uncultured bacterium. RNAcentral describes it as "partial 16S ribosomal RNA". It matches the Rfam family "Bacterial small subunit ribosomal RNA", at positions 524 to 776 of the family's 1533-position model. The record is from RNAcentral.
UACGGAGAGGGCUAGCGUUGUUCGGAAUUACUGGGCGUAAAGGGUACGUAGGCGGUUUAGUAAGUCAGUGGUGAAAGCCUGCAGCUUAACUGCAGAAUUGCCAUUGAUACUGAUGAUCUUGAGUAUGAUUGAGGUGGGCGGAAUGUGUCAUGUAGCGGUGAAAUGCUUAGAUAUGACACAGAACACCGAUUGCGAAGGCAGCUCACUAAGUCAUAACUGACGCUGAUGCACGAAAGCGUGGGGAGCAAACAGG